GAUGGGGGGGGGGGCCGAGGCAAGGAUGUCAGUCGAGCGAAUGAGAACUAGCUUGUUCUUAUGAAGUGGCGGGGGGAGGGGUGAGUGCGCGUGGGUAACCUGCGCAUAAGAGAGGGAUAACUCCAGGAAACCGGGGCUCGGCCGGAUAACAUUUUGAACCGGCGGGUUCUGAAUUGAGGGGCGGCUUCCGCUGUCACUUAGGGAUGGACCCGCGUCGCAAUAUCUAGUUGGUGAGGUAACGGCUCACCAAGGCAACGAUGCGUAGCCGACCUGAAAGGGUGAUCGGCCACCCUGGAACUGAGACACGGCCCAGACUCCUACGGGAGGCAGCAGUAGGGAAUCUUCCGCAUGGACGACGGUCUGACGGAGCAACGCCGCGGGAGGGAUGAAGGCUUUCGGGUCGUAAAACUCUGUUGUUAGGGAAGAACAAGUGCUGGUUGAAUAAGGUGGCACCUUGACGGUACCUAACCGGAAAGCCACGGCUAACUACCUGCCAACAACCGCGGUAAUACGUAUGUGGCGAGCGUUAUCCGGAAUUAUGGGGCGUAAAGCGCGCGCAGGUGGUUGCUUAAGUCUGAUGUGAAAGCCCACGGGCUCAACCGUGGAUGGUCAUUGUAAACUGGGAGACGUGAGUGCAGAAUAGGAAAGUGGAAUUCCAUGUGUAACGUUGAAUGCGUAGAGAUAUGGAGGAACACUAGUGGCCAAGGCGACUUUCUGGUCUGUAAGUGACGCUGAUGCGCGAGAGCGUGGGGAGCGUACACGAUUACAUACCCUAGGUAUUCCACGCGGUAGGGGAUCAGUGCUCAGUAGUUAGAGGGGUUUCCGCCCUUUAGUGCUGAACGUGAACGCAGUAAUGCAACGUCCGCAGGCGGAGGUAGUGGCGGGGGAGCUGGAACUCAGGAGGAAUUUGACGGUGGGCACUCAACAAGCCGGUGCAACCUGUGCGUUAAUUCGAACAAUGCAGAUAAACUUACGAGUCUUCGCAUUCCUGGGAACAAGGCUAGAGAUGAGGCUUCUCCUUCCGGGAAGGCAAUUGACAGGGGGGGGUCAUGCUUUACCGCAGCUCCUGUUCCUCUAAGUGUCCGCUAAUUCGGCAACCA
Molecule: ribosomal RNA, 1100 nt
Filed under: Bacillus cereus
Lineage: Bacteria; Bacillati; Bacillota; Bacilli; Caryophanales; Bacillaceae
Description: bacterial SSU rRNA
Rfam family: Bacterial small subunit ribosomal RNA
Source: RNAcentral